Molecule: ribosomal RNA, 419 nt
Filed under: uncultured bacterium
Lineage: Bacteria
Description: bacterial SSU rRNA
Rfam family: Bacterial small subunit ribosomal RNA
Source: RNAcentral
GGAAUAUUGGUCAAUGGAGGGAACUCUGAACCAGCCAUGCCGCGUGAGGGAGGAAGGCCCUAUGGGUUGUAAACCUCUUUUGCCCCGGGGCAAUAAGGCUCAUGCGUGAGCCGAUGAGAGUACGGGGCGAAUAAGCAUCGGCUAACUCCGUGCCAGCAGCCGCGGUAAUACGGAGGAUGCAAGCGUUAUCCGGAUUUAUUGGGUUUAAAGGGUGCGCAGGCGGCGCGUUAAGUCAGCGGUGAAAUGUUCCGGCUCAACCGGGGAGCUGCCGUUGAUACUGGCGUGCUGGAGUGCGGACGGCGCCGGCGGAAUGAGUGGUGUAGCGGUGAAAUGCAUAGAUAUCACUCAGAACACCGAUCGCGAAGGCAGCUGGCGAGGCCGCAACUGACGCUGAGGCACGAAAGCGUGGGGAUCAAACA